CACCUGAUCCCUUGCCGAACUCAGAAGUGAAACCGCUUAGCGCCGAUGGUAGUGUGGGGUCUCCCCAUGCGAGAGUAGGUCAUCGUCAGGC
This 91-nucleotide ribosomal RNA is filed under the name Halomonas sp. The record is from RNAcentral. Lineage: Bacteria; Pseudomonadati; Pseudomonadota; Gammaproteobacteria; Oceanospirillales; Halomonadaceae.